AUACGGAGGGUGCAAGCGUUGUUCGGAAUCACUGGGCGUAAAGGGCGCGCAGGCGGUUUUACAAGUCAGAUGUGAAAGCCCACGGCUUAACCGUGGAAGUGCAUUUGAAACUGUAAGACUUGAGUAUCAGAGGGGAAGGUGGAAUUCCCGGUGUAGAGAUGAAAUUCGUAGAUAUCGGGAGGAAUACCGGUGGCGAAGGCGACUUUCUGGCUGAAUACUGACGCUGAGGCGCGAAAGCGUGGGGAGCAAACAGGAUUAGAUACCCUAGUAGUCC
Molecule: ribosomal RNA, 274 nt
Filed under: uncultured bacterium
Lineage: Bacteria
Description: partial 16S ribosomal RNA
Rfam family: Bacterial small subunit ribosomal RNA
Source: RNAcentral